CAGUAGCCACGGUAAUACGAAGGGUGCAAGCGUUACACGGAAUUACUGGGCGUAAAGCGUGCGUAGGUGGUGGUUUAAGUCCGUUGUGAAAGCCCUGGGCUCAACCUGGGAAUUGCAGUGGAUACUGGGUCACUAGAGUGUGGUAGAGGAUAGUGGAAUUUCCGGUGUAGCAGUGAAAUGCGUAGAGAUCGGAAGGAACAUCUGUGGCGAAGGCGACUAUCUGGGCCAACACUGACACUGAGGCACGAAAGCGUGGGGAGCAAACAGGAUUAGAGACCCCGGUAGUCCCUGUCUCUUAUAC
RNAcentral lists this ribosomal RNA (301 nucleotides) under uncultured bacterium. Its description in RNAcentral is "partial 16S ribosomal RNA". It matches the Rfam family "Bacterial small subunit ribosomal RNA", at positions 509 to 807 of the family's 1533-position model. The record is from RNAcentral.